UACGUAGGGGGCGAGCGUUGUCCGGAUUCAUUGGGCGUAAAGAGCUCGUAGGCGGCUUGGUAAGUCGGGUGUGAAAACCUCAGGCUCAACCUGAGGCCUGCACCCGAUACUGCUAUGGCUUGAGUCCGGUAGGGGAGUGUGGAAUUCCCGGUGUAGCGGUCAAAUGCGCAGAUAUCGGGAGGAACACCAGUGGCGAAGGCGGCACUCUGGGCCGGAACUGACGCUGAGGAGCGAAAGCGUGGGGAGCGAACAGG
This 254-nucleotide ribosomal RNA is filed under the name uncultured bacterium. Its description in RNAcentral is "partial 16S ribosomal RNA". It matches the Rfam family "Bacterial small subunit ribosomal RNA", at positions 524 to 776 of the family's 1533-position model. The record is from RNAcentral.